AUGAACGCUGGCGGCGUGCUUAACACCUGCCAGUCGCACGAAGCACUUUAUUUGAUUUCCUUCGGGACUGAUUAUUUUGUGACUGAGUGGCGGACGGGUGAGUAACGCGUGGGUAACCUGCCUUGUACAGGGGGAUAACAGUUGGAAACGGCUGCUAAUACCGCAUAAGCGCACGGCAUCGCAUGAUGCAGUGUGAAAAACUCCGGUGGUAUAAGAUGGACCCGCGUUGGAUUAGCUAGUUGGUGAGGUAACGGCCCACCAAGGCGACGAUCCAUAGCCGACCUGAGAGGGUGACCGGCCACAUUGGGACUGAGACACGGCCCAAACUCCUACGGGAGGCAGCAGUGGGGAAUAUUGCACAAUGGGCGAAAGCCUGAUGCAGCGACGCCGCGUGAGCGAAGAAGUAUUUCGGUAUGUAAAGCUCUAUCAGCAGGGAAGAUAAUGACGGUACCUGACGAAGAAGCACCGGCUAAAUACGUG
RNAcentral lists this ribosomal RNA (480 nucleotides) under uncultured bacterium. Its description in RNAcentral is "partial 16S ribosomal RNA". It matches the Rfam family "Bacterial small subunit ribosomal RNA", at positions 29 to 507 of the family's 1533-position model. The record is from RNAcentral.